This 560-nucleotide ribosomal RNA is filed under the name uncultured bacterium. RNAcentral's name for it is "bacterial SSU rRNA". It matches the Rfam family "Bacterial small subunit ribosomal RNA", at positions 338 to 916 of the family's 1533-position model. The record is from RNAcentral.
CCUACGGGAGGCAGCAGUGGGGAAUCUUGCGCAAUGGGCGAAAGCCUGACGCAGCCAUGCCGCGUGAAUGAUGAAGGUCUUAGGAUUGUAAAAUUCUUUCACCGGGGACGAUAAUGACGGUACCCGGAGAAGAAGCCCCGGCUAACUUCGUGCCAGCAGCCGCGGUAAUACGAAGGGGGCUAGCGUUGCUCGGAAUUACUGGGCGUAAAGGGCGCGUAGGCGGAUCGUUAAGUCAGGGGUGAAAUCCCAGAGCUCAACUCUGGAACUGCCUUUGAUACUGGCGAUCUUGAGUAUGAGAGAGGUAUGUGGAACUCCGAGUGUAGAGGUGAAAUUCGUAGAUAUUCGGAAGAACACCAGUGGCGAAGGCGACAUACUGGCUCAUUACUGACGCUGAGGCGCGAAAGCGUGGGGAGCAAACAGGAUUAGAUACCCUGGUAGUCCACGCCGUAAACGAUGAUUGCUAGUUGUCGGGCUGCAUGCAGUUCGGUGACGCAGCUAACGCAUUAAGCAAUCCGCCUGGGGAGUACGGUCGCAAGAUUAAAACUCAAAGGAAUUGACGG